AUUGAACGCUGGCGGCAGGCCUAACACAUGCAAGUCGAGCGGAUGAAGGGAGCUUGCUCCUGGAUUCAGCGGCGGACGGGUGAGUAAUGCCUAGGAAUCUGCCUGGUAGUGGGGGAUAACGUCCGGAAACGGGCGCUAAUACCGCAUACGUCCUGAGGGAGAAAGUGGGGGAUCUUCGGACCUCACGCUAUCAGAUGAGCCUAGGCCGGAUUAGCUAGUUGGUGGGGUAAAGGCCUACCAAGGCGACGAUCCGUAACUGGUCUGAGAGGAUGAUCAGUCACACUGGAACUGAGACACGGUCCAGACUCCUACGGGAGGCAGCAGUGGGGAAUAUUCGGCAAUGGGCGAAAGCCUGAUCCAGCCAUGCCGCGUGUGUGAAGAAGGUCUUCGGAUUGUAAAGCACUUUAAGUUGGGAGGAAGGGCAGUAAGUUAAUACCUUGCUGUUUUGACGUUACCAACAGAAUAAGCACCGGCUAACUUCGUG
Molecule: ribosomal RNA, 484 nt
Filed under: uncultured bacterium
Lineage: Bacteria
Description: partial 16S ribosomal RNA
Rfam family: Bacterial small subunit ribosomal RNA
Source: RNAcentral